Molecule: small nucleolar RNA, 113 nt
Filed under: Brassica napus (rape)
Lineage: Eukaryota; Viridiplantae; Streptophyta; Magnoliopsida; Brassicales; Brassicaceae
Description: Brassica rapa small nucleolar RNA 775
Rfam family: Brassica rapa small nucleolar RNA 775
About the family: Name based on close proximity to miR775. Precursors of both are encoded by a single gene sno-miR775.
Source: Rfam by way of RNAcentral
UCUUUGAAUUAUUAAUUAGGUAUAGUUUUUUUUUUUGGUUUGAUGGAAGGAAGAUUGCCUCUUCUUUCAGCAGCAAGUUCUGUUCUUGUUAGCUUUGUUCUGGAGGCAUAUAU